This 922-nucleotide ribosomal RNA is filed under the name Lactiplantibacillus plantarum. RNAcentral's name for it is "bacterial SSU rRNA". It matches the Rfam family "Bacterial small subunit ribosomal RNA", at positions 61 to 947 of the family's 1533-position model. Lineage: Bacteria; Bacillati; Bacillota; Bacilli; Lactobacillales; Lactobacillaceae. The record is from RNAcentral.
GUCGAACGAACUCUGGUAUUGAUUGGUGCUUGCAUCAUGAUUUACAUUUGAGUGAGUGGCGAACUGGUGAGUAACACGUGGGAAACCUGCCCAGAAGCGGGGGAUAACACCUGGAAACAGAUGCUAAUACCGCAUAACAACUUGGACCGCAUGGUCCGAGCUUGAAAGAUGGCUUCGGCUAUCACUUUUGGAUGGUCCCGCGGCGUAUUAGCUAGAUGGUGGGGUAACGGCUCACCAUGGCAAUGAUACGUAGCCGACCUGAGAGGGUAAUCGGCCACAUUGGGACUGAGACACGGCCCAAACUCCUACGGGAGGCAGCAGUAGGGAAUCUUCCACAAUGGACGAAAGUCUGAUGGAGCAACGCCGCGUGAGUGAAGAAGGGUUUCGGCUCGUAAAACUCUGUUGUUAAAGAAGAACAUAUCUGAGAGUAACUGUUCAGGUAUUGACGGUAUUUAACCAGAAAGCCACGGCUAACUACGUGCCAGCAGCCGCGGUAAUACGUAGGUGGCAAGCGUUGUCCGGAUUUAUUGGGCGUAAAGCGAGCGCAGGCGGUUUUUUAAGUCUGAUGUGAAAGCCUUCGGCUCAACCGAAGAAGUGCAUCGGAAACUGGGAAACUUGAGUGCAGAAGAGGACAGUGGAACUCCAUGUGUAGCGGUGAAAUGCGUAGAUAUAUGGAAGAACACCAGUGGCGAAGGCGGCUGUCUGGUCUGUAACUGACGCUGAGGCUCGAAAGUAUGGGUAGCAAACAGGAUUAGAUACCCUGGUAGUCCAUACCGUAAACGAUGAAUGCUAAGUGUUGGAGGGUUUCCGCCCUUCAGUGCUGCAGCUAACGCAUUAAGCAUUCCGCCUGGGGAGUACGGCCGCAAGGCUGAAACUCAAAGGAAUUGACGGGGGCCCGCACAAGCGGUGGAGCAUGUGGUUU